CGUUAUGGCGGGCUAUGCGGGCAACCUUCGGGUUGGCCGUUUUGGGUUUCUUGCGGUUUGCUACCCCGUAUAGCCUGCCUCCAAU
RNAcentral lists this non-coding RNA (85 nucleotides) under Candidatus Kentrum sp. MB. The record is from RNAcentral. Lineage: Bacteria; Pseudomonadati; Pseudomonadota; Gammaproteobacteria.